This 397-nucleotide ribosomal RNA is filed under the name uncultured bacterium. RNAcentral describes it as "partial 16S ribosomal RNA". It matches the Rfam family "Bacterial small subunit ribosomal RNA", at positions 523 to 918 of the family's 1533-position model. The record is from RNAcentral.
CUACGUAGGUGGCAAGUGUUGUCCGGAUUUAUUGGGCGUAAAGCGAGCGCAGGCGGUCUCUUAAGUCUGAUGUGAAAGCCCCCGGCUCAACCGGGGAGGGUCAUUGGAAACUGGGAGACUUGAGUGCAGAAGAGGAGAGUGGAAUUCCAUGUGUAGCGGUGAAAUGCGUAGAUAUAUGGAGGAACACCAGUGGCGAAGGCGGCUCUCUGGUCUGUAACUGACGCUGAGGCUCGAAAGCGUGGGGAGCAAACAGGAUUAGAUACCCUGGUAGUCCACGCCGUAAACGAUGAGUGCUAAGUGUUGGAGGGUUUCCGCCCUUCAGUGCUGCAGCUAACGCAUUAAGCACUCCGCCUGGGGAGUACGGCCGCAAGGCUGAAACUCAAAUGAAUUGACGGGG